UCUGGUUGAUCCUGCCAGUAGUCAUAUGCUUGUCUCAAAGAUUAAGCCAUGCAUGUCUAAGUAUAAGCAAUUUAUACAGUUGAAACUGCGAAUGGCUCAUUAAAUCAGUUAUCGUUUAUUUUGAUAGUUCCUUUACUACAUGGUAUAACUGUGGUAAUUCUAGAGCUAAUACAUGCUUAAAAUCCCGACCUUUUGGAAGGGAUGUAUUUAUUAGAUAAAAAAAUCAAUGUCUUCGGACUCUUUGAUGAUUCAUAAUAACUUUUCGAAUCGCAUGGCCUUGUGCCGGCGAUGGUUCAUUCAAAGUUUCUGCCCUAUCAACUUUCGAUGGUAGGAUAGUGGUCCUACCAUGGUUUCAACGGGUAACGGGGAAUAAGGGUUCGAUUCCGGAGAGGGAGCCUGAGAAACGGCUACCACAUCCAAGGAAGGCAGCAGGCGCGCAAAUUACCCAAUCCUAAUACAGGGAGGUAGUGACAAUAAAUAACGAUACAGGGCCCUUUCGGGUCUUGUAAUUGGAAUGAGUACAAUGUAAAUACCUUAACGAGGAACAAUUGGAGGGCAAGUCUGGUGCCAGCAGCCGCGGUAAUUCCAGCUCCAAUAGCGUAUAUUAAAGUUGUUGCAGUUAAAAAGCUCGUAGUUGAACUUUGGGCCUGGUUGGCCGGUCUGGCUUUUUGCCACGUACUGGAAUGCAACCGGGCCUUUCCUUCUGGCUAACCUUAGGCUCCUUGUGGGUCUUUGGCGAACCAGGACUUUUACUUUGAAAAAAUUAGAGUGUUCAAAGCAGGCGUAUUGCUCGAAUAUAUUAGCAUGGAAUAAUGGAAUAGGACGUUUGGUUCUAUUUUGUUGGUUUCUAGGACCAUCGUAAUGAUUAAUAGGGACGGUCGGGGGCAUCAGUAUUCAAUUGUCAGAGGUGAAAUUCUUGGAUUUAUUGAAGACUAACUACUGCGAAAGCAUUU
RNAcentral lists this ribosomal RNA (953 nucleotides) under Monosporozyma servazzii. RNAcentral's name for it is "SSU rRNA". It matches the Rfam family "Eukaryotic small subunit ribosomal RNA", at positions 1 to 956 of the family's 1831-position model. The record is from RNAcentral. Lineage: Eukaryota; Fungi; Ascomycota; Saccharomycetes; Saccharomycetales; Saccharomycetaceae.